This is a long non-coding RNA of Polypterus senegalus (gray bichir), 931 nucleotides long. RefSeq lists it as uncharacterized. Lineage: Eukaryota; Metazoa; Chordata; Cladistia; Polypteriformes; Polypteridae. The transcript has 4 exons. The record is from RefSeq and is a predicted model, not a curated record.
ACCAUUUCUAGGCAAGGCAAAAACAACGCCUCCUUUUAUCGAACACAAGUCUCAGUUUUCGAGCACAAACAAAAUAUGACAGAAAACAACACGAAACACAUAACUAUUCAACUGGGAGAGUCAGUACCACUGCUGACUCAAUGUGACAGAUGUUCCACCUUUUUCCAUUGUCCUUUUUGUAGUGGUAAUGGUUUUAAGCCCUCCAAACUGGAAAAAUUAAAAAAAAACAAAAAAUUUGAAGAGUCAUUUCAAGAAGGCAGUUCUCCAUGAAGUAUGUUCUGUGCCUUGUCUUGGAUAUGCCAUUUGACUUCACAGCUGUAAGCUUUCACUUAUGUCUCUGAUUAUUUGUUAAUAUCUGUUACUGGUUUUAAUGUUCUUUGUUUUUACCCUCCCUCUGCAUGUCAGUGUGAUUUACAUGUGAUCAGGAGGUGCUGGCGCUUUAUUCUAUUGGAGAAUUUUUCUGUUGGAAGGUCUCUCUCUCUGUGUGGCUAACGUGUGAAUAUUUCUUACAGGACAAAGACAUUCACUAAAGGGGCACUGGAGAGUGCCCAGAGCAGUGAGGAGGAACCACUAAUAAAAAAGGACCUCCGCACUGCAGUAAAAUGGUUGUGCCAACACAGACAGUUGUUCAGAGGUGCCGUGUCUGAGCCCCAUUUUCUGGAGAUGGAGGAGGAGGACCAAAGCCGAGCUCGAAACUGGAGAUUUAAUUUUGGCAAGAGAACCCUUUUUAUUUAUUUUUCAGUUUAGGGAUGAUAGGGAACUUUUUACUCAGGAAAGUCGGGAUAAAAUAAAACUUAAAAGUAAACUGCAUAUAUAAUUAAUCACUAUAAUUAGUGUCUGUUGCAACAUUGAUUGUUACUUGUAUUUUAUUGUGCAUUAAUGCUCUGUUGAUUUCAGUUUAUAAUCCUUUGAUUUUUCUGUUUUUCUUUGA